UCUGCUGGGGCUUUGUGGAAGCAUAUUAUUUGAGCUAUGUGUAUCUCAUUAUUGAGAGAAGUUUGUCUGCUGCUCUGGGUUGUAGGCUUGGAGACUACCUCUUCACAGCUCACAUGGGCAGAUUUCCUAUUCCUCUUGUCCUUAGGAAUACUUCGUAAGACAGAAUGAUGACUGUCCAGGUUUUUCAGAGCCCUGCGCAGUGGGGAGAGCCUGCCUUGUCUUUUUGCUACCAUUGUACGCAGGACUGCUUUGUCUCAGCCGACAGAACCAGCAAGUCAGAAAGGAAGGGAGACUUUUGGAUCAGAACAGAUGAUUGAAAUGGAGACUGGAAACGCCUGAUCAUGUUGAAAGACACCAGAUCCGACUCUGGAAAUAACUAGCACAAAAUCAGAUUCCAUAAUCAUGAAAGAAACACCUGUGGGGCGCCAAGCAUCUCUCUUUGCAGAUAUAAGAUCACCGCCCUGGAGCAAGAAGGGGAGAAGGCCACCUUUACUGGGUCCUGUAUAGGGCACUGCCUUGGCUGAUGCUUCCUUCCCGCUCUGUGAGACAGAGUAUCAGACCCCACAAGAAGCUGCAUAACCCCCCUCCCCCCGCUUUCUCGGAGCCUGGGUCCACCCAGGUCUGACUGACUCCAAAGCAAGACUUGUUUACAGCAUGGAUAUGAUCCAAUGGGUGGGAGAGACCGGUCAACAUUGAAAUCCAGAUGCAAUAAUAAAGCCUCAACCAAGCGCUGCAGGCAGCUGGAGAAGGAGGCGACGCAACAAUAUGGAUGGUCACAGAGGCCACCCCUCAUCUCCAAUAUCCUUUUCCAAAACAAGUAUGAGCGGCUCUACAAGCUUAUGGGAGCUAUACAUAAGCUGCUUAGAGAGCCGCUCAUACUACUGGGCACCGAGGACUCUAAUUACUCGGCAAGUAUUUCCCCCUGCACUCUAAACAGUUAAGUAUUUUGUGUCCAUUUUACAAACAAGAGAGAGAAAACGCAUGAAAUAAAUGAUUCCUCGAGCCACACACCCUUCCAAGUGUUUGACGUACAUUAACAUCUCAAAGCCACCUUGCGAGUUAGGCAUUAUUGGAUUCAUUCCCAUUUUACAGAUGAGGCAGUGAGCCACCGGGAUGAGUGACCAGGGUGAGGUCACGUAGCUGGAGAGCGGAGGGCCAGUUGCUGACCUAGGAUGGCUGUCCUGAUCCUGGAUCACUGAAUUGCACUGCCUCCAGCAAAAGCAAUUAAGGCUGGUCGGAGUGAACCAUCCCAGACCGUGGGCAGGGUGGAGGUUAUAAACAUUGACCAAAAACCCUGUGACGAAAUGGGUGAAGUAUUUAUUCCUUUCAAUACAACCUAUCCGGACGCUUUCCUUUUCUCAUGAUGCAUGUACAAAAUCCGAGUUGGUGCCCACAAAAUUUGCCUCCUACCCUCAGAUAGGCAUACAGUAAAAUACAGACAUGGUUCCAGCGAAAUCUACGCUUGUACGUAUCACAUUUAAUGUGCUUCUGAAUUGUAGAUAAAUUUAUCAUCUAGCAUUUUGAUGCCAAUAAGCCAAUUCAUAUGAAAGAGCCUUGCAAAAAGAAAAAAAUUAUUCUUGAAGCUUCAGGAAGAGACUUACAAGUAAUAAUCAAAUAUCAGAGGAAGGUAUAAAAUGAUUUGGGGUGAAGUUAUACAUGAUAGCAUUCGCUCAAAACAUUUGAGAUAGUAAACUUUUCCAUCCUUGAGUGAUUUCUGAAUUUCUCGUUCAGUGCUACUCAGUUUUCUCAAUCAACGUUGGGGGCUGGCCCAGCAUCCUUUGCAGUUUCCAGAGCAUGUGAUGAUGUUCUAUUUCCUUUUCCACCAAACAGAAACCACGGUCUUCUACCUCUUUCCCACGAAGCCCCUCAGACUGAGACACCACGGAGGUCACCACUCGCCUUCAGGAGCUGGCUGGUCACUAGCUCCUGCAUGCCCUCUGCCCUUGAGGGUCGUGUACAGAACCUUCCCAAUAAGAGCACAGUGUCCCUCUGUUCACAUAUGGCUGGGGGUUGUAAUAUAUACAUUUUAAUGCAUAUUUGCUGAGCUACCACUAUGUACCCAGCACUGUGCACUCCUUGUCUCUCCCUGGAGCAUGCAUGGAGAUUUCAGAGCAGUCCUCUCUCUGAAUACGGAGCGAGAGAGAGACCCUCACUGGCCUGAGGCUCCCUUAAGGCUUAUGUGACAAUGCACCUGCUGAAAAUGCAAGCAGGAGCCCUGAACUACAUCUAAGCCACUUUACUUUCCUACACAAUGAUGCUCUCUACCUGGGUUCCGAGAAGCAGACACAGAGAUAGAGUUUAUGGUGUGUGUGUGUUGGGCGGAGGGCGGGGGGGAGGAGGGGGGAGUGGUCUAAAGGGACCAACAGGUGGAAAGGAAGGGAAUAAAGCCAGACUAGGCGGACAGAGAGGCUGGGCUGCCUUGAAGUGUCUACAAAGUCCCAGCUGACCUCAGGAGCUCUGGAGCUAGAGUAGCCCUUCAAAGUUGUCCCCAAAUGGAGCAAGGCAGUCAGGCUUUUUAUCCUCUACAUCAGCUGACCGAUGAUAAGGGAUGUCCCAGGAAGAGGCGUGACCUGGGACAAAGCAGCACUCUGCAGCCAAGGAGACUUCAGGAGAGGGUGACAGUUGAGCACCGUUCUGCCCAGCUGGCAAAAUGACGGAUGUGGGCAGGACAGGAUAAUGUCCACGAGACUCUCCGUAUCUUAAACCUAGAAUCCCGUUCUAUCCAUGUCAUUUAAUGGGAAGCAAAUGAGUCCAAAGAACUAGCAUUUCUCAGAUGCAUCAAGUUCGUGUCCGCGCACGAUAGGAAUCACUCCUACCAUGCCCCGGACAGCAGGUCACCUAGCUUCCAUUUGGACACUUCUAGGAACAGGAGCUCAUUGUUGGGGAGCUUUAGUUGUUACACGGUUUUUCCCAACGUUGAGCCAAAUCUUCCAGGUAGAAAUUGCUCUUUAAUAAUAGCCAUCGUAUUGACAAGUUAUUGGCCAGGUAGCAAAACUAGGAAAGAAUAGCGCGUUUGUGCAAAUCCAUUUGGACCAAGGACUGAAAUAAUGGAGUAGAUAUUUAUUCCUUUUUUGAAAAAAAAACUAUUCUACGGGCUCUUCUCCACCGAAGAGUCAGAGUGAUCUUUUUUUAAACAAAGAUCAGAUCAGUCAUAGGCUAUGCUCAAACUCCUUUACUUGGAAUGUAGCCCACAGGCCUCGUCCUGGCCUACAAGUCCCCUCCUUUCCGGAGCCUGACCCUGGCGCGGCCCUCGCCUCCUCCCUAACACCCUGGAUUCAGCCACUUUGCUCUUUUUACUGUUCUGCAGACACUCCCAUGUCAUUCUGCUUCAGGCCUUUGUACUUGCCGGGACGUCUGCCCUUAACGCGCAUCCUCCAGACUUUUGCAAGGCUUCAUUCAAAUGCCAACUUCUCAGAAAGGCUUCCUGACACACCCCUUCUCAGAAGAGCUCCUCACCCUCGCGACCCCCUCAUUCUGCUUGCUUUCUCUUCAUAGCCCUCGCUAAUUCCUAGUGCGUUGUGUUGAAGUUUUGUUCGGGCACUACAUCUCUACGCUCCUAAAACAGCUCCUGGCACAUAGGAGCAUUAAGUAAAUAUUUGUUGAGUGAGAACGCAAAUAAAUAAAUCAGUGCACAAACAGAACCUUGCCCAAAAGUUACGGGUAGCGCCGUUGGGAAGUUACUGAAAUGCUCGAGGUGGGGCUCAGAAUAAACCUCAACCGAAAGAAAACCAUUUAAUAAAGGGAAAUCCAAACGUUUAUUCUCCUGAGUCACAAUCAAAGAGAAGAGAAUUUCUAUCGCACUUCAUAUAUAGGCACCAUACUGUCAAUUCCUGGAGGGCAGGGACCAGGUUUCAUUCUUCUUUUAUCCCCUGAAGCUCCUAGCCUGGUAACCUUGAGUGCAUUAGGCACCCUCUAAAUGUCUGUUGAACAUAAUCAAUUUAGCAUAUCAAUCAACCUGGCCACUAAAACCAAGACUUUGGUCACCUGAUGCUGUCAUGGGGGAACGGAGAAGGCUAGCCUGUUUCAAGCAUCAUUACAUUUUUUUCUUCAGCAUCUUUAAGAGCAUUAGACCGGUGCACCAAGUUUCUUCACUGUGUCUGUAGACGUAGUUAGGAAAAAAAACAUUCAAGAUUGCAUUGCCAUUUAAGAGAGUUUGCUAACGUUCCGUAGAAUGAAAGCCCCAUUCAGUGGAACUCGGAAGGGCCAGCCCGUAAACAACAUUUACGGAGUGGGCUCUGUGCUCAGCCCCACGGUGGUCAGAGCUGCGUUCUUAAUGACCCGGAGGAAUGCCCAGGACAUACUCUGCUGUUGAAGGGAAGUUGUGUGGGGAGUUUGGCUGGGUUCCUUGAUUUUAGUUUGGUAAACCACCCAUUCUGCCUCCUUAGGAGAAAUUGGUACAGCGUCCUGAGGCAAAUAAAUGACUGACCCUGAGUCUCCCCUUUGAGGACUCAUGCUUUCCCGGGAAGGCCAGAAGAAGCAAGUCCUUCGGCCCUGCCUAGACCCCUCCCGCCACGACGUGGGUAUGUGUUGGCAAUGAGGGUAGCUGGUCGAUAGUGGUAGGAGACUCAUUUAGCAGAGAGGUACUAAAGCAAACAUGCAAACAUGAACCAAG
Molecule: long non-coding RNA, 4612 nt
Organism: Acinonyx jubatus (cheetah)
Lineage: Eukaryota; Metazoa; Chordata; Mammalia; Carnivora; Felidae
Exons: 3
Source: RefSeq, a predicted model, not a curated record